RNAcentral lists this unclassified non-coding RNA (444 nucleotides) under Bombus terrestris (buff-tailed bumblebee). RNAcentral's name for it is "misc RNA ENSBTSG00005031400.1". The record is from RNAcentral. Lineage: Eukaryota; Metazoa; Arthropoda; Insecta; Hymenoptera; Apidae.
GUGGCCGCUUUGUGCGCGGCAAAGUCCGUCCAAUUCCUCUUUGUGCCACGAUGCGUCUCUACCUCGUCCUGUAUUUUUCUUCUGUGCGCGAGUUUCCGCGGAAUCGAUGUCCUGGUUGUGCACGCCUAGAGUUCGACCGUUCUUCUGGGAAAGCAGGAUGGUGAAAAAAAAUGGCAAAUUUCUGGGCCUUCGGGCGUCUAAAAUUCCAACGGGGCAUCGUUCUCUCCAUCAAAAUGAUUUACGGCAGCACCCUACAUCGUACAUAUGGAGUAACGAGAUCGCGACGAGGUCGUGAGCAUGUCGAGGGGCACGCACGCUGCAAAAGAAACGGGACAAAGAAGCGGCGCGCGUAAAAGCGAUUUACGAUCGUGCCCAGCCGUCGCUGGAAAAAGCUGUCUGCUGCUUUCGACCAAGUUAACCGGCUGCAAACUCACGCGUCCCGGC